UUAUGGCUCAGGAUGAACGCUGGCGGCGUGCCUAACACAUGCAAGUCGAGCGGAGAUAGGUUGAAGCCUAGCGAUUCUUAUCUUAGCGGCGGAUGGGUGAGUAACACGUGGGUAACCUGCCCUGUACUGGGGGAUAACAGCUGGAAACGGCUGUUAAUACCGCAUAUGCGCACGGAGCCGCAUGGCCCUGGGCGGAAAGAUUCAUCGGUACAGGAUGGGCCCGCGCCGGAUUAACUUGUUGGCGGGGUAACGGCCCACCAAGGUGAUGAUCCGUAGCCGACCUGAGAGGGUGACCGGCCACAUUGGGACUGAGACACGGCCCAAACUCCUACGGGAGGCAGCAGUGGGGGAUAUUGCACAAUGGGGGAAACCCUGAAUGCAGCGACGCCGCGUGAAGGAAGAAGUAUUUCGGUAUGUAAACUUCUAUCAGCGGGGAAGAAGAUGACGGUACCCGCACAAGAAGCCCCGGCUAACUACGUGCCAGCCGCCGC
Molecule: ribosomal RNA, 491 nt
Filed under: uncultured bacterium
Lineage: Bacteria
Description: bacterial SSU rRNA
Rfam family: Bacterial small subunit ribosomal RNA
Source: RNAcentral